RNAcentral lists this RNase P RNA (401 nucleotides) under Rhodobacter sp. SGA-6-6. RNAcentral's name for it is "Bacterial RNase P class A". It matches the Rfam family "Bacterial RNase P class A". From Rfam's summary of the family: Ribonuclease P (RNase P) is a ubiquitous endoribonuclease, found in archaea, bacteria and eukarya as well as chloroplasts and mitochondria. The record is from Rfam by way of RNAcentral. Lineage: Bacteria; Pseudomonadati; Pseudomonadota; Alphaproteobacteria; Rhodobacterales.
GCGGAUGGCCGGAUGACCGCGGCCCCGGACUUGAUCCGGGGGCGAGGAAAGUCCGGACUCCAUGAGGCAAGGGUGCCGGGUAACGCCCGGCGGGGGCGACCCCAGGGAAAGCGCCACAGAGAAGAGACAGCCCCGGUUCGCCGGGGUGAUGGUGAAACGGUGGGGCAAGAGCCCACCGCGGGACGGGCAACCGGACCGGCACGGCAAGCCCCACCCGGAGCAAUGCCGAAUAGGGGCCUCGCGCGGGGCUGGUCCUGAAAGGGAUACCGCCGCAGGGAUGCUUCAGCCCGAGAGGCCCGGGUUGGCAGCUGGACCCCCUCCGCAAGGCGGGGGCUAGAGGAAUGGUCAUCCAUGGCGGGCAACCGCCGGGACAGAAUCCGGCUUACAGGCCAUCCGCGCGU